GACGUAGGAUGCAAGCGUUGUCCGGAAUUAUUGGGCGUAAAGAGUUCGUAGGUGGUAUGUUAAGUCUGGUGUUAAAUCCCGAAGCUCAACUUCGGAUCAGCACUGGAUACUGACAAACUAGAGUGCAGUAGAGGCAAGGGGAAUUCCUAGUGUAGCGGUGAAAUGCGUAGAUAUUAGGAGGAACACCGGUGGCGUAAGCGCCUUGCUGGGCUGUAACUGACACUGAGGAACGAAAGCCAGGGGAGCAAAUGGG
This 253-nucleotide ribosomal RNA is filed under the name uncultured bacterium. RNAcentral's name for it is "partial 16S ribosomal RNA". It matches the Rfam family "Bacterial small subunit ribosomal RNA", at positions 524 to 776 of the family's 1533-position model. The record is from RNAcentral.